UCGCGACGACCCUCACCUGAGGGCCACAGGGCGGCGGGGCUCGGGGCUUCGCCCGCGGGGCGGGGGCGGUAGCCGGUCGGGGCUUCCCCGGCGCCGGGCGCUGCCUGCGGGGGCAGUGCCUGGGGAGCCUCCGCCGAGGCGGCGCGGGUGCGCGGCCCGCCCUGGUGGUCCGGGGGUGAGGGGGCUGCGCUGCCCUUCGGCUGAGGCGGGACUGUGAGGCGGGGCGUUGGCCACGGCCCCGGCCCAAAGCCUGGGUCUUGCUCUGGGAAAUAGUGUAAACGCAUACUGGCUGAAUUUGCACAAGGUUGUCCUCUGCGAUUCUUGUCACCGCAGUGGCACAGUUGCUCACCUAGGGUCUUCAAGUGGGAGGAUCGUCUGAGAAGUGCCAGUCUGGCGAAGAACUUGACACGGAUGAAGAUGGACGGAUGCCACUAAAUGGAUGCUGCAUAACUGGCUAGGAAGGAAAGGGGGCUGGAACAGUUUAUGAAAAUGGAAUCACACCCACGCACCUGAGAUGUUUGGCACAACUGCUUCACAGCCAGAACACGCUGCUCUGGAUACCAGCAAGCAGGUUUUCUAUACUUUCAAUUCCCUGGACAAACCCCCUGCCCUUUCCGCCCGUGUAACCCCGCUGGCUGCAGCUGACCUGGGCAGGGAGGCACCAAGCGGGAUGUGGCUCGGCCUUUAGUACGGCUGUAGGUAGUUCCAUAGAAACGUCUUCGCUGCUCUUACUUAACAGAGGGUUGGAAUUUCUUGAGAACACACAAUGCAUGCUACUUGCUAGAUUGUCCAUAAAGUACAUUCUGACACAUUUUAUCCAAGUAUUUGUAUCUAUCAGAAAAAGACUCUUGUAGAAGCCAUGUACAAAGCCUCCAAAAAUUCAAGUAUCAAAAAAAAGGUGUUCUGAUAAAAGUUUGGAGUAAGCAGCCAGCCAAACUGCUAGAGAUUAUUUUUGCAGUGAUAACUUCUUUCCUUUGGAGUGCUGGGAAUUAACUGUCUUCCAAAUUAAUUUUCAUUAAGUUUGGUGGGGUCUAAGGAAUUUAGCAAUCCUGCCUAGAUAAUAUUGCCCCACUUUUAUAUUCAAACAAUGGAAUCAGAAACAGAAUAACUGACUCUAAUCCUUCCUGCCUCUCUUUGAUUUUCUAUAUUUAUUUAUUUAUUGUGUAACAUCAUUGGGUCUGGCUCCCUUAAACCCCCCCAAAAAAAACCCAAACCCAAAACCAUCAGGAGUGCAACAGAGGCAAGAGCAGGGCAUCUCCUUCCCUCCAGCUGGACAAACAUUUGCAAGAGAAGGGGUGGGUGAGAGAAAAACCAAAACAAACAACAAACCACCAAACCCCAAACAAACCAACAGUUCUAGUUGUAUGCAAAACUGUUUCAUUUCUUUAGAACCCUGUUCAAAUCAAGACUUCAAUUUCUGAGGAGGGAAUCCUUAGAUCCCAGACCUUUCCCUUCUCUCCUCUUGCAAAGCAAUGCUAUUUUUGUGGCCUAGAACAGUACUUUAGAAACAGCAGUUAUUAAAGACACAGUUGUGAUAUAUCCUUUAACUCCCCCUCACCCAAAAAGGGGUAUCCUGUGAAGUGAUCCAGUAGAAAUCUUGAAGUUUCUUUACGAUAAAUCCAUAAAAUGAGGAAUACCUUCUGUCACAUUCCCAACAAGAAUAAUAAUCCCAACAAGAAUAAUAGCCACACUCUGUGGUGCAUUUGUUCAAGUGUCUAUUGCUCCUUCUAGUGGAGAUUCUGCACAGCUCCACCUCCACGUCAGUUCUGGUCCUACCAAGCAAGAGCAGAGAUUUUUCUCCUUUCUCUUCAGGUGGUCUCUGGUUAACAAACAGCAGAAGCACUGAGGGUCAUAAUCCCCAGGACAGGAACAGGCCAGUAAUGUCUGAAGAAACACCAGUUGUCUUUUUUCCUCAGGUGUGGCAGAUUUCUGCCAAGAGCAGUUUUUGUGUCCUGUUGGUAUCACUGGCACCUACACCUCUGUGGAGAAGAGAAUGCUUUGCCUCUUGCUGUCUGGGGUAGGGAUAGUCUCUAGCUGCAGGAAGUACAGAAGAACUUGAACCUGGAAAGAGAAAGGAAAAGGUAACAAUAAAGCUCUGAUAACUCAUUCUCAUCCUACCGAUUGGAGAGCUGGCAGACAUGCCUACAGCUCUCUCCACAGGAACAAUCUUGAAGUUGUGUAUUUGUUUUAAUACAGUGUAUAAUAGCAGGAAUAUGAAAACUUGCAGCGCUCCAGAGACACUCUUUUCAGCUUCCAGGGUAUAGCAGUGAUGCUGGAGUUCCACUGCGCUGAAAAAUUCUGAUCUAUAAUUUGCCAUUACUCAGUCAAGAACGUUCCAGCCAGCACGACCACCUAACACAGCCCCUAUGGUCAAAUUCUCUGCAUCGCCUUCAGAAGGCAUCAGUGGCCCGAGAAAUCUGAACUUAGCGAAGCAUUUUGUUAGACAUCAGUGAAGGUGGCUUAAGUGUUGAGGAGCAUCACAGGAAAACACUAAUGGUUCUUUUAUCCCAGGCUGGCAAUAUGGCGCUGUGAGACAGCCCUCAAAACAUCUUGCUAUGCGCAAACAUGAAACAUGCAGGAUUGCACGCAUACCGACAUCUUCUCAUGAAAAGCUGUGUUAGUACAGAUGCAAACUGAACUGCCUGAAGAUAAACAGUUCUACAAACAGUCUAAAAUGUCUGUGGAACGGUGAAAGUUGUUUAUGUUUCUCAAGUCGUGAAAACACAGAAGGAUGGCUGAACCAGCCUUGCUAGGGAACUGCAGCUUCCCAGAUACUCUCUUCAAAAGAUUCAACAGCACAUUCAGCAUUUUACCUGGGACAUGACUUCUAGUGACCAACUAUCGGUCAUUGUGAUGGGCUGGGUUGGGUUAGCAGGGAUUUUACUGUCCUUCUCUGAAGGUCUGAGCAGCGUUGGUCCAAAGACAGUUGCGAGAUUAUGCAGGGACAUCUUGUUAAUGCUUUCCCUCUCAGCAACCCUAGGAGAAGAAACAAGAACAAGGCACAUCUUUAUAAAUAUCUGUGUUUGGAAGCGUCCUUAAGUAAGAAACCAUAUUUAUUCAUUUUGUAAAAAGUUUUAGAUACAUUCCAUUGACCACUCUCUCCAUACAUGCCUAAAUGAGCUUUUUAUAUAAGCAACACCUUGACCUGACAAAACCACAGUCUCCAGGUGCUCUACAGACAUGGCUUAGACUUGGGAAAGGGACUGCUGCUGACUGUCUGGACAGGCAGAGGUGGGACAGGAAUAAAGAAACGUGUUUCAUCCCAGUUUCAUAAAUGAGAAACUGAGACACACAGGUUAAAAAAUUUACCCAAGGGCAGAAAAGUCUGCAGCAGAAACAACAGUAAAUCUCAGAUUUCCUGGAUUUUAAUCCUCAGUCACAAGAUUAUCUUUCAUCUCGCCAGUGACGGUCUCUGGUAUGUACAAACGACGUACGUAAAUUAACACACUGUGCAUGUAUUAAGCUUGUUGCAUUAAUAUCAAACACAUGGAAAUACUUUUUCAGUUACAACCAUAUUUACAAAGACAUAGACAAGAUGAGAAAGACUAGUCUAAGCAAGGAACUGACAACUCCAGUUAGCAGAAUUGCAAAGCUGGAAUUUAAAGAAAAUAUAUAAUGCUAGUUUGUAGACACCUUUUGAGACAGGACACUAGUCCUUAAACAUGGCCAAAGCUUCACAAUCUAUAGUAAAACCUUUCCCGAUCUUUGUAUCCAGAUGCAAGUGCAGUUUUGCAGUGAUACUGCAGCAGGAAUUUGCAUUGGCACUAGAUAAGCCCUGAGACUUUUGUUGCUCCUUUCCUUCAGUUCUAAUCCUUUUGGUAUGAGUGGGAAUGGAAUUUGGGAUUUAGUGCCUCACUAAGUGAGUAUGAGACAAUAAUUAUCUGAUGAACAUUCACAGCAAAUUCUUCUCCGUCUGUGUGAUUCAGCAGAAUUCGAGGAAAAAGCUCCUCUUUUCAAAACACAUCCAAUCCAUGUCUAAAAGAUGCACAUAUUACCUUUUUAAAUGGUCCAAAAGGAAAAGGAAUGUCACAAGGUUGGGUUCUGGAAGCGAUAACAAUAGGUUCAACAUACAGCUUUCCUUUGCAACAGGAUCUGAAAGUGCUACAAGACAGAAAAUAACAAGGCAUCACCAUAGGCAGUGAAUGAGAAUUUGACUGACUGCAUAAUUUCCCAAACCAACAAAUACAGAUGGUUCUGAACAGACUGUAAUUCCUUCAUAGGCUGGAGGGUCAAUUGCACAUCAAUACCCCACAGCAUCUCUUUCCUUUGUUUCAUAGAUAUGUAUGUCCUUUUCUCUCAAGCAGUUCAAGUGCUUUCAGACCUUCGACCCUUGAUGUUUUUCCCCUGCACAGUGUAUCCUCCCCACCCCACAAAGAGGCCUUCCCUGGACGACUGACAGGGCAAACAGCCGGCACAGCCCACACGAGUAGGUUGUCUUGUGUUCUUAACCUGUCCUUCAGAAAUCUGGACAUUUUUGGCUUAUAAAAAGGUAUGUUCAUUGCCCAUAUUAAAGCUCAGAGGAAGAAUAUGUCAUUCCAGGGCUCAUUUCUGAGCUCCGCUUCCCUAGCAGCUUGUUCCAGGCUUCUGUCCAACGUUAUAAAUAUGUUAUUUGUAUUGCUUUAGGAGCAGCCUCCUGCAGAACAGCAUCUUUAACCCAGACCUGGUUAUCAAGGGUUACUUCUGCUACUACCUACCAAUGCCCUCAGCAAAGUUGGGGUACAGCUCAUCUGUAAAGAGGGGUUCAGGCAGCUCUCGGAAGUACAGCUUCAAGGUGCCCGCGAUGGCGUUGACAUCCAUCUCGCUCAUCAUCACUGACACGUCUUUAUUGUCUGAGAGAGGGAAGAGGGGAAGCCGGGUAAAGCAGCUGCUGGCCUUGCAUUCAUCCUUUUUCUUGCUUUGGCUCUUUGUUUAUCCUUUGACCAAAUAGCUCAGAGUUUUCCUGUUUACGUUUCCCCAGAUUAAAUGAGCCACCUCCUGACAACUGUAAAGUGCUGCACAAAUGACUGCAAACAGUUUGUAGCUUUAAAUCAAGCGGAAGCAACCUCACUACCCAGGGUUAGUUAUGCUGUGCCAACAACCUCAGCCAGAUCUGGAACAAGCCCUGUUUGACUGUAUUUAUCUGCAUUUCAACUUUUGUUGGUGACAACAAUUGUUAUUCUAAUUCCCUGCCUCUAACAGCCGAGAAUAACAGGCUGAGGCUGUCUAACUCCUCACUGAAUGCAGCUAAAGUACACAGGCAAUUCAGGGCUCACAUUUCAGUGUUGUUACUAUUGAGAACAACAAAACCACCCCCUUUUCCUAAAACAAACAGACCAACUGGCAGAGCCAGUGCUGCUUUCAUGAUGCUUAGUGUAAAACAGCAUUUAACACACAGAAGAAAAGUUGUUUUUUAAAACACCGUUACUGGCACUAGUGAAGAUUCACAAAUCUAUUUGUUUGGUAACUUAGGGGAAUGAAAAUAAAAUACAAGGAAGAAGAAAUUUCACAAAAUAAGUGAAUGAAAAGUGCAGGGCGGGUGAAUUUGGGCACCUGGUGCAGACCUCGUGACUGCCUGCAUCAAAAGACACCUCAAGUGUGGCUUGGACAGUUCUUGGACCAUCAUGUGGAGCUGGAAGUAGGGCAGAAUUUCACUUUGUGUACCUCAGCAAUUUGGAGGUGUUCAUCUGCCUGAUCUUGGAUGCCUUUUGGGACAUCCAUGCCAUUCUUUUAAAUGCAGAACCAGUAAGGAGCCCUUUUCUGCUCAAGAUCAAAGAAAGCUUUACAAAGCUGCUCAAAACCAUCUAAUUUUAUGAUCUGCACACAGAGUUAAGACGAGAGCUCAGGAGCCCUGACCACCCAACUGCAGUUUUGUAAAAACCCUUCCUAGCCAACCUUAGACAUUUUUUUUUUGCUGGCUUCCUUUUACAAAACAUUCUCGAUUUCAAGGACUUCUAUUAAUUCAGAGGCCUCACAACAGCGAGGAAAUUAAGGCUUCUGAUUGCUGCUGCUUCCCCUGAGGAAGGUGUCUGCCACUUGCAAAGGUUUGGCAAGGCAGGUAAACCCACCAUUUCCUGACUGCUGGGAAGAACAACAAAUACACAAUUUGCUAUAAGGAUCCAUCCUGUUGUAUAUCUUGGGUUAUAUCUGCGGUUGAAGAAUAUUAAUAAAACAUGCAGCCAGGGUUAAAAUGAUUCUCCUUGUGAGAGAAUCUCUCACUCCUAGUGCUUCUGGAGGAACAUGAGGUUAAAAAUAGCAUAGCCACCUGACAGGGAGCUCCUGCAGGUUCUCCCAGUGCAAAAGAAAACAUCAGACACAAUUACUUACUGACAUCAAAGGCAGCUUUCAAAGCCUGGAUAUCGGUUGCAACCCCAGAGACACGGUAGAUGCCCACCUCCUCCAUGCCACGCCGCUCUAUCUCCUCCACGCACUGGCGCACUAUGUAAGGCACCUUCGAUCUCUCUCUCCUUAAAAAAGCCAGACAGAAAAGUUCAGUACAGCCUGCGCCCUCAGUGCUCGUUGCCCCAGCCGGGCUGGUUAAAAUCACCCCAUCAUUUUGCUGUGCAAACCUCUUGUGGAGAAUGGGUGGAAGGAAGCCUGAGCAGGGAGUUGAGACUGAGCUAUGAAAUUCCUUUAAACACCAGAGAGGCUUUUCUGAGUGUCUCAGCCUGGCUCUGGCUGCGCUGCCACUGCCCUGAGCACUUGGGCUUCUGGCUAGAUCUCAGUGCCCUCAGAGCCUGCGACUUUGCACAGGUAAUCAGUGCAUUCCCAAACAGAACUUGGAAACAUGGCAACACCAUUGCUUUCCAAAUAAUGCAAUUCCAUAGGGAGGAAAUAACACAAUUCCCAAACUAUAUAACGGAACAAACAGGUUUCUUCUGGCAAAGGAUUCAUGACAAAAGAUCAUGGGUUAAAAUAAUGCUUACAGGAUCCAAAGAAUUUGGACGUUUCCGAUUAUGGAAAGGAAACAUCACAGCUGAGUGGGUCUGGAAAUUUGUGACCAAGUCAGCUAAUUAGAGAGUGAAGGGGCAAGGGGGAUUUCCGGACCUCAGAGAGUGUUCUGCUGUAGGUAAACACCCUGGCUUUCAAAGCCUGUGUGCAUGCUGUUUUUUUUCCUACAAGAAAAUGAAGCUUGGAGAAUGUACAGCAGCCACAGCCGUCUACGCUGCUACCCAAGGGCAGCAGACGGGACUGACAGAUCUCUCAGCGUGGUAAAACCCAGGCACAACCCUCUGGCCAGCUGACUUUCUGAAAAACAACAGCGAGAACAGUGACCCAUCAGCUUACUUAGUGACAAUAGCGAUCUUGACCCCAAACACCCCAGUCUGUUUCCGGGACGGCAUCCUUUUCAGGCUAAACUCCCGACUGGUAAACUUCACUGAGAGCUUCACUUCAACCUGAAUGAAAAAUAAAGGAGGACAGCUGUUAC
Molecule: long non-coding RNA, 7405 nt
Organism: Columba livia (rock pigeon)
Lineage: Eukaryota; Metazoa; Chordata; Aves; Columbiformes; Columbidae
Exons: 3
Source: RefSeq, a predicted model, not a curated record